CCUACGGGAGGCAGCAGUGAGGAAUAUUGGUCAAUGGACGCAAGUCUGAACCAGCCAUGCCGCGUGCAGGAAGACGGCUCUAUGAGUUGUAAACUGCUUUUGUACGAGGGUAAAUCCCGAUACGUGUAUCGUGUUGAAAGUAUCGUACGAAUAAGGAUCGGCUAACUCCGUGCCAGCAGCCGCGGUAAUACGGAGGAUUCAAGCGUUAUCCGGAUUUAUUGGGUUUAAAGGGUGCGUAGGCGGUUCGAUAAGUUAGAGGUGAAAUCCCGGGGCUCAACUCCGGCACUGCCUCUGAUACUGGCGGGCUAGAGUGUAGUAGCGGUAGGCGGAAUGUAUGGUGUAGCGGUGAAAUGCAUAGAGAUCAUACAGAACACCGAUUGCGAAGGCAGCUUACCAAACUACGACUGACGUUGAGGCACGAAAGCGUGGGGAGCAAACAGGAUUAGAUACCCCAGUAGUC
RNAcentral lists this ribosomal RNA (460 nucleotides) under uncultured bacterium. Its description in RNAcentral is "partial 16S ribosomal RNA". It matches the Rfam family "Bacterial small subunit ribosomal RNA", at positions 338 to 795 of the family's 1533-position model. The record is from RNAcentral.